UACGUAGGGUGCGAGCGUUGUCCGGAAUUAUUGGGCGUAAAGGGCUCGUAGGCGGUCUGUCGCGUCGAAAGUGAAAACUCAGGGCCUAACCCUGAGCCUGCUUCCGAUACGGGCAGACUAGAGGUAUGCAGGGGAGAACGGAAUUCCUGGUGUAGCGGUGAAAUGCGCAGAUAUCAGGAGGAACACCGGUGGCGAAGGCGGUUCUCUGGGCAUUACCUGACGCUGAGGAGCGAAAGUGUGGGGAGCGAACAGG
RNAcentral lists this ribosomal RNA (253 nucleotides) under uncultured bacterium. RNAcentral describes it as "partial 16S ribosomal RNA". It matches the Rfam family "Bacterial small subunit ribosomal RNA", at positions 524 to 776 of the family's 1533-position model. The record is from RNAcentral.